RNAcentral lists this ribosomal RNA (221 nucleotides) under uncultured bacterium. RNAcentral's name for it is "partial 16S ribosomal RNA". It matches the Rfam family "Bacterial small subunit ribosomal RNA", at positions 109 to 334 of the family's 1533-position model. The record is from RNAcentral.
AGUAAUGUAUGGGAUUUGCCCGAUAGAGGGGGAUAACUACUGGAAACGGUGGCUAAUACCGCAUAAUGUCUACGGACCAAAGCAGGGGCUCUUCGGACCUUGCACUAUCGGAUGAACCCAUAUGGGAUUAGCUAGUAGGUGGGGUAAAGGCUCACCUAGGCGACGAUCUCUAGCUGGUCUGAGAGGAUGAUCAGCCACACUGGGACUGAGACACGGCCCAG